UACGUAGGGUGCAAGCGUUAAUCGGAAUUACUGGGCGUAAAGCGUACGCAGGCGGCUUUGCAAGACAGGUGUGAAAUCCCCGGGCCUAACCUGGGAACUGCAUUUGUGACUGCAUGGCUAGAGUUUGUCAGAGGGGGGUGGAAUUCCACGUGUAGCAGUGAAAUGCGUAGAGAUGUGGAAGAACACCGAUGGCGAAGGCAGCCCCCUGGGCCAACACUGACGCUCAGGCACGAAAGCGUGGGGAGCAAACAGG
Molecule: ribosomal RNA, 253 nt
Filed under: uncultured bacterium
Lineage: Bacteria
Description: partial 16S ribosomal RNA
Rfam family: Bacterial small subunit ribosomal RNA
Source: RNAcentral